This 240-nucleotide long non-coding RNA is filed under the name Mytilus galloprovincialis (Mediterranean mussel). Lineage: Eukaryota; Metazoa; Mollusca; Bivalvia; Mytilida; Mytilidae. The record is from RNAcentral.
AUAUACUCAGUUUGCCAACGGGACCAGAAUAGAUCGGCUAGAUACUGAACAAGUCUCCUCUGGCUACGCAUCGCAUCCUUUGUUCCGAAUUCGACUUGUCCAAGAGAUCCACACGACAACGCAUAUUUCUGAGUUAAUAGAAGAGACAGCCAAAGAACUGACGGGUUUUCGGGGUCGCUAGAAACUGGAACCAAUGGCCUCGAAUUGACCAUAGCACAAACUCCGCGCAUUAGUGUAGAA